RNAcentral lists this transfer RNA (74 nucleotides) under Zingiber officinale. It matches the Rfam family "tRNA". From Rfam's summary of the family: Transfer RNA (tRNA) molecules are approximately 80 nucleotides in length. Their secondary structure includes four short double-helical elements and three loops (D, anti-codon, and T loops). Lineage: Eukaryota; Viridiplantae; Streptophyta; Magnoliopsida; Zingiberales; Zingiberaceae. The record is from Rfam by way of RNAcentral.
GUUGGAAUAGCUCAGUCGGUUAGAGUAUGUUGCUGUUAACCAAAAGGUCGAAGGUUCAAGCCCUUCUUCUUGCG